CCCUUAGAUGUUCUGGGCCGCACGCGCGCUACACUGAUGCAUUCAACGAGUCUAAAACCUGGUCUGAGAGGGCUGGGUAAUCUUUUGAAAGUGCAUCGUGAUUGGGAUAGAUGAUUGCAAUUCUUCAUCUUCAACGAGGAAUGCCUAGUAAACGCAAGUCAUCAGCUUGCAUUGAUUACGUCCCUGCCCUUUGUACACACCGCCCGUCGCUCCUACCGAUUGAAUGAUCCGAUGAAUACCAUGGAUUGAGAGUACGAAUGGGUUCGCUCAUUUCUGCUGCUCGAGAAGUGGAGUAAAUCUUAUCAUUUAGAGGAAGGAGAAGUCGUAACA
This 330-nucleotide ribosomal RNA is filed under the name uncultured eukaryote. RNAcentral's name for it is "partial 18S ribosomal RNA". It matches the Rfam family "Eukaryotic small subunit ribosomal RNA", at positions 1470 to 1796 of the family's 1831-position model. The record is from RNAcentral.